Molecule: ribosomal RNA, 941 nt
Filed under: Epicoccum latusicollum
Lineage: Eukaryota; Fungi; Ascomycota; Dothideomycetes; Pleosporales; Didymellaceae
Description: eukaryotic LSU rRNA
Rfam family: Eukaryotic large subunit ribosomal RNA
Source: RNAcentral
CGGCGAGUGAAGCGGCAACAGCUCAAAUUUGAAAUCUGGCGUCUUUGGCGUCCGAGUUGUAAUUUGCAGAGGGCGCUUUGGCAUUGGCAGCGGUCCAAGUUCCUUGGAACAGGACGUCACAGAGGGUGAGAAUCCCGUACGUGGUCGCUAGCCUUUACCGUGUAAAGCCCCUUCGACGAGUCGAGUUGUUUGGGAAUGCAGCUCUAAAUGGGAGGUAAAUUUCUUCUAAAGCUAAAUACUGGCCAGAGACCGAUAGCGCACAAGUAGAGUGAUCGAAAGAUGAAAAGCACUUUGGAAAGAGAGUUAAAAAGCACGUGAAAUUGUUGAAAGGGAAGCGCUUGCAGCCAGACUUGCCUGUAGUUGCUCAUCCGGGUUUUUACCCGGUGCACUCUUCUACGGGCAGGCCAGCAUCAGUUUGGGCGGUUGGAUAAAGGUCUCUGUCAUGUACCUCCUCUCGGGGAGAACUUAUAGGGGAGACGACAUGCAACCAGCCCGGACUGAGGUCCGCGCAUCUGCUAGGAUGCUGGCGUAAUGGCUGUAAGCGGCCCGUCUUGAAACACGGACCAAGGAGUCUAACAUCUAUGCGAGUGUUUGGGUGUCAAGCCCGAGCGCGUAAUGAAAGUGAACGGAGGUGGGAACCUUUCGGGGUGCACCAUCGACCGAUCCUGAUGUCUUCGGAUGGAUUUGAGUAAGAGCAUAGCUGUUGGGACCCGAAAGAUGGUGAACUAUGCUUGAAUAGGGUGAAGCCAGAGGAAACUCUGGUGGAGGCUCGCAGCGGUUCUGACGUGCAAAUCGAUCGUCAAAUUUGGGCAUAGGGGCGAAAGACUAAUCGAACUAUCUAGUAGCUGGUUCCUGCCGAAGUUUCCCUCAGGAUAGCAGUAACGUUUUCAGUUUUAUGAGGUAAAGCGAAUGAUUAGAGGACUGGGGGAUGAAACAUCCUU